GGGUCAGUAGGUUGGUCGUGCCACCGGUACGUACUGGUCUCACUGAUUCCUCCUUCCUGAAGAACCGUAAUGCCAUUAAUUUGGUGUUGCGGGGAAACAGGACUGUUACUUUAAAAAAAUUAGAGUGUUUAGAGCAAGCUAACGCUUGAAUACAUUAGCAUGGAAUAAUGAAAUAGGACGAUCGAUCCUAUUUUGUUGGUUUCUAGGAUUGACGUA
Molecule: ribosomal RNA, 216 nt
Filed under: Glomeromycotina sp.
Lineage: Eukaryota; Fungi; Glomeromycota
Description: partial small subunit ribosomal RNA
Rfam family: Eukaryotic small subunit ribosomal RNA (bases 40-216)
Source: RNAcentral